AACGCUGGCGGCGUGCUNUGAGUACAUGCAAGCUCGUGGGAGAAAGUCGUAGCAAUACNGGCAAGUAAACCGGCGCACGGGUGAGUAACACGUGGAUAACCUGCCUUAGAGUCUGGGAUAACCCGUCGAAAGACGAGCUAAUACCGGAUAAGACCACGGGAAGUUCGCUUCCUGAGGUAAAAGAUGGCCUCUGCUCCUGCAAGCUAUCACUUUGAGAGGGGUCCGCGUCCUAUCAGCUAGUUGGCGAGGUAACGGCUCACCAAGGCUAAGACGGGUAGCUGGUCUGAGAGGAUGGUCAGCCACACUGGGACUGAGACACGGCCCAGAGUCCUACGGGAUGCAGCAGUCAGGAAUAUUGCGCAAUGGAGGAAACUCUGACGCAGCAACGCCGCGUGGAGGAUGAAGUCCCUUGGGACGUAAACUCCUUUCGAUCGGGACGAUAAUGACGGUACCGGAAGAAGAAGCCCCGGCUAACUUCGUGCCAGCAGCCGCGG
Molecule: ribosomal RNA, 494 nt
Filed under: uncultured bacterium
Lineage: Bacteria
Description: partial 16S ribosomal RNA
Rfam family: Bacterial small subunit ribosomal RNA
Source: RNAcentral